UGAGGAAUAUUGGUCAAUGGGCGAGAGCCUGAACCAGCCAAGUCGCGUGAAGGAUGAAGGUUCUAUGGAUUGUAAACUUCUUUUAUAGGGGAAUAAAGUGCGGGACGUGUCCCGCUUUGUAUGUACCUUAUGAAUAAGCAUCGGCUAACUCCGUGCCAGCAGCCGCGGUAAUACGGAGGAUGCGAGCGUUAUCCGGAUUUAUUGGGUUUAAAGGGUGCGUAGGUGGUUUGUUAAGUCAGCGGUGAAAGUUUGUGGCUCAACCAUAAAAUUGCCGUUGAAACUGGUAAACUUGAGUAUAUUUGAGGUAGGCGGAAUGCGUGGUGUAGCGGUGAAAUGCAUAGAUAUCACGCAGAACUCCAAUUGCGAAGGCAGCUUACUAAACUAUAACUGACACUGAAGCACGAAAGCGUGGGUAUCAAACA
RNAcentral lists this ribosomal RNA (422 nucleotides) under uncultured Parabacteroides sp. RNAcentral's name for it is "partial 16S ribosomal RNA". It matches the Rfam family "Bacterial small subunit ribosomal RNA", at positions 355 to 774 of the family's 1533-position model. The record is from RNAcentral. Lineage: Bacteria; Pseudomonadati; Bacteroidota; Bacteroidia; Bacteroidales; Tannerellaceae.